This 253-nucleotide ribosomal RNA is filed under the name uncultured prokaryote. Its description in RNAcentral is "partial 16S ribosomal RNA". It matches the Rfam family "Bacterial small subunit ribosomal RNA", at positions 524 to 776 of the family's 1533-position model. The record is from RNAcentral.
UACGUAGGGUGCGAGCGUUAAUCGGAAUUACUGGGCGUAAAGCGUACGCAGGCGGCUUUGUAAGACAGGUGUGAAAUCCCCGGGCUUAACCUGGGAACUGCAUUUGUGACUGCAAAGCUAGAGUUUGUCAGAGGGGGGUGGAAUUCCACGUGUAGCAGUGAAAUGCGUAGAGAUGUGGAGGAACACCGAUGGCGAAGGCAGCCCCCUGGGAUAUGACUGACGCUCAUGUACGAAAGCGUGGGGAGCAAACAGG